Molecule: RNA transcript, 989 nt
Organism: Cryptomeria japonica (Japanese cedar)
Lineage: Eukaryota; Viridiplantae; Streptophyta; Pinopsida; Cupressales; Cupressaceae
Gene name: mediator of RNA polymerase II transcription subunit 30
Exons: 4
Source: RefSeq, a predicted model, not a curated record
CGUGUUCGUCGUAGAUAUUUGUUUAUGAAAACUUUAGAUUUUAUUUGUUUAUUCUGGAUAGAUAAUUUUCAGGUUAAAUUAUCUAUCCAGAAUUUUUGAGCGGCGAUUUCAAUUGUUAGUAGAGGAGAGGAGAGAAGUGAAGAGAAGAGACGAUGAGAGAAGAAAAAGUGGGUAAUAACAAGCAGAAGAGGAGCGAAGAAUUGGCUGUGGAGGGGCAGAGGCAUCUAGAAGGCACCGUUGAAGCAGCGCAUCAGAUUCUUGCUUCCAUGAAUCAAGAGCUCUGCAACCCCUCUCUCUGGAUACCCCCCACCACCAGAGACCACGACCCCUCCGGUGGAAGCGGAGGCGGUGCACUGGAUGACGCAAGGCUCCGCUACAAAAAGUCUGUCGAUUCACUCAGGGAUGUCAUUUCUCUCAUCUCCUCAUCUCAGACUAAACCACACGAGGGAGAUACCAUAAUGGGAACAGAAAAUAAUGGAGAUCAAGCCGAGAUACAAAUACUAGAACAACGGGCUUCAGAGCUCAGAGAGGAGGUUACCAAAAAGAAUCAUCAUUUGAAAGUUCUUAUAGACCAACUUCGAGAUCUUGUCAGUGAUAUUUCCAUGUGGCAGAGUCCGAUCUUAUGAUUUUGUUUGAAUUAUGACUUUCAUUGAAGAAAACUGGUUUGACAAUGCUAGAAAAAUUGGGAAUCAAGUACAGCCAAUUGCUGCAAUCCUAUUUCUCCGCUGUCAUGAAAUUUUAUGGUGGAUUUGCUCCUCAGGAAAUUGCAUUUGGGACAUGAUGCGACUUGCAUCUGAUUGAUAUUCAGUAUAGUGGUAGAAUUGCAUGCAGUCAAGCGUCUUACAUGCACACAUGUUCGGCAAAUGUCAUUUUGAUUGUAUGAAGAGCUUCAAUAGCGUGUGAAAACGUGUCCUAGUACCAAAAUGGACAGUUUUAUUUUCUCUGACAAAUCUCUCUCUUAUACAUGGAAAUUGCAUUUCUUGAACAUC